AGGCCCAUGGUGUAAUGGCAGCACAGCUGUUUUUGGUGCAGCUCGUCGGGGUUCGAAUCCCUGUGGGCCUA
Molecule: transfer RNA, 71 nt
Filed under: Phycisphaera mikurensis
Lineage: Bacteria; Pseudomonadati; Planctomycetota; Phycisphaerae; Phycisphaerales; Phycisphaeraceae
Also listed under: 1 other name
Description: tRNA-Gln
Rfam family: tRNA
About the family: Transfer RNA (tRNA) molecules are approximately 80 nucleotides in length.
Source: RNAcentral